RNAcentral lists this ribosomal RNA (227 nucleotides) under uncultured bacterium. RNAcentral describes it as "partial 16S ribosomal RNA". It matches the Rfam family "Bacterial small subunit ribosomal RNA", at positions 118 to 345 of the family's 1533-position model. The record is from RNAcentral.
UGAGCAACCUGCCCUUGACCCUGGAAUAACAGCUGGAAACAGCUGCUAAUACCGGAUAUGACCUCCGAUGGCAUCAUCUGGAGGUGGAAAGCUCCGACGGUCAAGGAUGGGCUCGCGGCCUAUCAGCUUGUUGGUGAGGUAACGGCUCACCAAGGCGACGACGGGUAGCCGGCCUGAGAGGGCGAUCGGCCACACUGGGACUGAGACACGGCCCAGAUCCGUACGGG